Molecule: ribosomal RNA, 585 nt
Filed under: Synechocystis sp. 12A210hp
Lineage: Bacteria; Bacillati; Cyanobacteriota; Cyanophyceae; Synechococcales; Merismopediaceae
Description: bacterial SSU rRNA
Rfam family: Bacterial small subunit ribosomal RNA
Source: RNAcentral
AUACCCAAUGUGCCGAAAGGUGAAAGAUUUAUCGUCUGAAGAUGGGCUCGCGUCUGAUUAGCUAGAUGGUGGGGUAAGAGCCUACCAUGGCAACGAUCAGUAGCUGGUCUGAGAGGAUGAGCAGCCACACUGGGACUGAGACACGGCCCAGACUCCUACGGGAGGCAGCAGUGGGGAAUUUUCCGCAAUGGGCGAAAGCCUGACGGAGCAAUACCGCGUGAGGGAGGAAGGUCCUUGGAUUGUAAACCUCUUUUAUCAGGGAAGAAGUUCUGACGGUACCUGAUGAAUAAGCAUCGGCUAACUCCGUGCCAGCAGCCGCGGUAAUACGGAGGAUGCAAGCGUUAUCCGGAAUUAUUGGGCGUAAAGCGUCCGUAGGUGGUUUUUCAAGUCUGCUGUUAAAGAAUGGAGCUUAACUCCAUAGGAGCGGUGGAAACUGAGAGACUAGAGUACAGUAGGGGUAGCAGGAAUUCCCAGUGUAGCGGUGAAAUGCGUAGAUAUUGGGAAGAACAUCGGUGGCGAAAGCGUGCUACUGGGCUGAAACUGACACUGAGGGACGAAAGCUAGGGUAGCGAAUGGGAUUAGAUA